This 253-nucleotide ribosomal RNA is filed under the name uncultured bacterium. Its description in RNAcentral is "partial 16S ribosomal RNA". It matches the Rfam family "Bacterial small subunit ribosomal RNA", at positions 524 to 776 of the family's 1533-position model. The record is from RNAcentral.
UACGUAGGUGGCAAGCGUUAUCCGGAUUUAUUGGGCGUAAAGGAAACGCAGGCGGUCUUUUAAGUCUGAUGUGAAAGCCUUCGGCUUAACCGGAGUAGUGCAUUGGAAACUGGGAGACUCGAGUGCAGAAGAGGAGAGUGGAACUCCAUGUGUAGCGGUGAAAUGCGUAGAUAUAUGGAAGAACACCAGUGGUGAAAGCGGCUCUCUGGUCUGUAACUGACGCUGAGGUUCGAAAGCGUGGGUAGCAAACAGG